AAAACAUUUAUCAGAGUAAGCAUCAUAAACAACGGGAUAUCACAUAUAACAUGAACCAAAACAGUUAAAUAAUAAUUUAACCAAAAGUCGUAAACAUUGCAGCGGAAUUUAGUUCAUAAUCCAUAAAUCAGUUUGGCACGUAGGCCCCAUCAAAUAUCUCAAUGAGUUAAACCAACUAAACAAAACAUAGUAAUUGUUCAACAUCAUAAAACAUAAACAUGAUAGUCACGUAAGAGAAUGAAGCAUGCAUAAUCAUAAAGCCCCAUCCCGUUACGUAUCAGAGCGACCUAGACGACACAGUGAAGGCAAGGCCACUCACGACGGAAACAGCACACUAAGCACGAUCACCUGCACGUUACCCACGGUCGAGGUAACAUUCAAACAGAAGGGGUGAGAUUUCAUAACAGAAUAACGUUAAUCAAUGCAAUUAAGAAUCAUAAAAUUAACAUCUUAAUCAAUCUUGAUCAUAAUCAUUUUAAACAUAAUCAUCAUUGUAUCUUUAAUAAGCAUUUAUCACGUAAUCACAUAAUCAAUCAUCAUCAACAAAGCAUAAUAGACAUGACAAUGCGACAAUGCUCCUAGACUCCGUAUAUGCAUGUGGUACCAAUCGUCAUCAUAAGUAUAAAUAUACUUUAAUCGUGCGGAGGACAAAGCUCCUAAUAAUCGUGCGGAGGACAAAGCUCCUAAUAAAACGUGGUGAGGACUAAGCUCAAUGAUAUGCUAUGCAUGGACUCUUAACAACAAAACAUCGUAAUCCUCGUAAUCAUGUGCAUUCAAUAACUUGAAGCGAAACGUCAUCAUUUUCAUUAUAUUCAUAAAUAAACAUUGCAUACUCAGUUAAAUAACAGCAGCAGCAUAAUCAAGUCACAUAACAGCAAAGAGAUAUCAAUAUAUCAACAUCAAUUCUAUAGAAUCAUAAUCAUUUCAUUAUAUCUCACAUAUUGCAUAAUACAUUAAUCAUGCUCAAAUAAUAUCAUCAUAUCUUAAUAGCUUUACAAACUGCAUUAAACGUUAUCAUUGGGUUUCAUUACCAAUUAGGGGUUCACUCUUGAUCAAAAGGUGCGACACAGAUCGCACAACCACUCAACUGCUACAUUCUGGACUUGCUCGCGAGGCGAGAGUUCUCACUCGCCAUGGCGAGUACCACUCAAAUUCCCAACUAAUGUUGUUUUGGGUUCAAUCCUGUCCUAAAAUCAUUCCUAAUCAUCUCUAGGUAUGUUUAGGCACUUAAAGGCACUCAAGGUCCAACUAAAAAGUCGAAACUACAAAAUAUGACAUGCACUCUGCCUAAGCUCGCGAGGCGAGGAAGGGUUGCUCGCCAUGGCGGGUUGCACCAAACAACUCGCGAGGCGAAGGGAAAAGGCUCGCGUGGCGAGCGAUGAACUUCAUCACUCGCGAGGCGAGGAUCAUAGCUCGCUGUGGCGAGCGAUGAAUGUCGCUACGGCCAGGCUUCCUAAAAACACAAAAAUCCGUCGAUUCACAUGGUUCUAAGCUUAGUUUUGAUUCCAGAAUUCAUCCUAAACAUAUUCUAAGGUUAAAGGACGGUUCUUUCAUCAAUCUAAACAAGUUUUACCGUUUAUUCUCAAUUUUUAGGGUUUUGACCUAAUUCCAAAACUUCUCUAAAUCAAUCCUAACUUUGUUAACUAAUCAUCAGAAUUACAGAGAUUAAUGUUACUGUGUUAUUAGUCCCACCCUUACCUGGUUAUGAAGAAAUCGCAGCCCUCUUGGUCUCUUGCUCCUCUCUAAGCUUUUUCUCCCUUUUCCAAUGUUUUCACGUACAAAGUGUUUUUUCUAAACCUAGGUCUAUUCUUUUAUAUCUCUCCUUAAUAACUUAUCUUAUUUCACUUUCUCCCCCAAAACUAUCUAAAAUAUCAAAACAGCCCUCAACUAAAUAUUUUUUCAAAUCUUUAUUUUAUUUAACAAUAAAAUAAAUUCUCUAAUCUUAUCAAAUCCUCCAAAACUCAUAACUUAUCACGUCAUCAAUCAAAUCAUCAAAAUCAUCAAAACAUAUCAAAAUCAUGCACAUAUUAUAUAAUUAUAAUAUAAUUGCCUAAACUCGAUUAAAUAACGAUUAAACGAAAGUGGGCGUUACAC
This 2094-nucleotide long non-coding RNA is filed under the name Medicago truncatula (barrel medic). Its description in RNAcentral is "long non-coding RNA (MTRU_LNC002665)". The record is from RNAcentral. Lineage: Eukaryota; Viridiplantae; Streptophyta; Magnoliopsida; Fabales; Fabaceae.